RNAcentral lists this transfer RNA (78 nucleotides) under Podarcis lilfordi (Lilford's wall lizard). RNAcentral describes it as "tRNA.Lys". The stretch from base 13 to 70 matches the Rfam family "tRNA", at positions 8 to 63 of the family's 71-position model. From Rfam's summary of the family: Transfer RNA (tRNA) molecules are approximately 80 nucleotides in length. Their secondary structure includes four short double-helical elements and three loops (D, anti-codon, and T loops). Further hydrogen bonds mediate the characteristic L-shaped molecular structure. tRNAs have two regions of fundamental functional importance: the anti-codon, which is responsible for specific mRNA codon recognition, and the 3' end, to which the tRNAs corresponding amino acid is attached (by aminoacyl-tRNA synthetases). tRNAs cope with the degeneracy of the genetic code in two manners: having more than one tRNA (with a specific anti-codon) for a particular amino acid; and 'wobble' base-pairing, i.e. permitting non-standard base-pairing at the 3rd anti-codon position. The record is from RNAcentral. Lineage: Eukaryota; Metazoa; Chordata; Lepidosauria; Squamata; Lacertidae.
GCACACGUGGGAUAGCUCAGUUGGAGGAGCAUGAGACUCUUAAUCUCAGGGCUGUGGGUACGAGUCCCACAUUGGGCA